CCUACGGGCGGCAGCAGUGAGGAAUAUUGGUCAAUGGGCGCGAGCCUGAACCAGCCAAGUCGCGUGAGGGAAGACGGCCCUACGGGUUGUAAACCUCUUUUGUCGGGGAGCAAAGCGAGUCACGUGUGACUCAUUGAGAGUACCCGAAGAAAAAGCAUCGGCUAACUCCGUGCCAGCAGCCGCGGUAAUACGGAGGAUGCGAGCGUUAUCCGGAUUUAUUGGGUUUAAAGGGUGAGCAGGCGGAGGUGCAAGUCAGCGGUCAAAUUGCGGGGCUCAACCCCGUACUGCCGUUGAAACUGCAUCCCUUGAGUGCGCGAGAAGUAUGCGGAAUGCGUGGUGUAGCGGUGAAAUGCAUAGAUAUCACGCAGAACUCCGAUUGCGAAGGCAGCAUACCGGCGCGCAACUGACGCUCAUGCACGAAAGCGAGGGUAUCGAACAGGAUUAGAUACCCCAGUAGUC
This 459-nucleotide ribosomal RNA is filed under the name uncultured bacterium. RNAcentral describes it as "partial 16S ribosomal RNA". It matches the Rfam family "Bacterial small subunit ribosomal RNA", at positions 338 to 795 of the family's 1533-position model. The record is from RNAcentral.